Molecule: ribosomal RNA, 440 nt
Filed under: uncultured bacterium
Lineage: Bacteria
Description: partial 16S ribosomal RNA
Rfam family: Bacterial small subunit ribosomal RNA
Source: RNAcentral
CCUACGGGUGGCAGCAGUGGGGAAUAUUACACAAUGGGGGGAACCCUGAUGCAGCAACGCCGCGUGGAUGAAGAAGGACUUCGGAUUGUAAAGUCCUUUCAGCAGGGAAGAAAAUGACGGUAUCUAACCAAUAAGCACCGGCUAACUCCGUGCCAGCAGCCGCGGUAAUACGUAGGGCGCAAGCGUUACUCGGAAUUACUGGGCGUAAAGAGAGCGUAGGCGGGAUGGCAAGUCAGAUGUGAAAGCCUAUGGCUCAACCACGGGACUGCAUUGGAAACUGUGAUGCUGGAGUGCAGGAGAGGUAGGUGGAAUUCCUGGUGUAGCGGUGAAAUGCGUAGAGAUUAGGAGGAAUACCGGUGGCGAAGGCGGCCUCCUGGACGAUAACUGACGCUGAGGCGCGAAGGCGUGGGGAGCAAACAGGAUUAGAUACCCGUGUAGUC